Molecule: ribosomal RNA, 300 nt
Filed under: uncultured bacterium
Lineage: Bacteria
Description: bacterial SSU rRNA
Rfam family: Bacterial small subunit ribosomal RNA
Source: RNAcentral
AUUGAACGCUGGCGGCAUGCUUUACACAUGCAAGUCGAACGGCAGCGCGGGGCAACCUGGCGGCGAGUGGCGAACGGGUGAGUAAUAUAUCGGAACGUACCCAAGAGUGGGGGAUAACGUAGCGAAAGUUACGCUAAUACCGCAUACGAUCUAAGGAUGAAAGUGGGGGACCGCAAGGCCUCACGCUCCUGGAGCGGCCGAUAUCUGAUUAGCUAGUUGGUGAGGAAAGGCUCACCAAGGCGACGAUCAGUAGCUGGUCUGAGAGGACGACCAGCCACACUGGGACUGAGACACGGCCCA